RNAcentral lists this ribosomal RNA (444 nucleotides) under uncultured bacterium. RNAcentral's name for it is "bacterial SSU rRNA". It matches the Rfam family "Bacterial small subunit ribosomal RNA", at positions 28 to 499 of the family's 1533-position model. The record is from RNAcentral.
GAUGAACGCUGGCGGCGUGCCUAACACAUGCAAGUCGAGCGAUUUACUUCGGUAAAGAGCGGCGGACGGGUGAGUAACGCGUGGGUAACCUGCCCUGUACACACGGAUAACAUACCGAAAGGUAUGCUAAUACGAGAUAAUAUGCUUUUAUCGCAUGGUAGAAGUAUCAAAGCUUUUGCGGUACAGGAUGGACCCGCGUCUGAUUAGCUAGUUGGUAAGGUAACGGCUUACCAAGGCGACGAUCAGUAGCCGACCUGAGAGGGUGAUCGGCCACAUUGGAACUGAGACACGGUCCAAACUCCUACGGGAGGCAGCAGUGGGGAAUAUUGCACAAUGGGCGAAAGCCUGAUGCAGCAACGCCGCGUGAGCGAUGAAGGCCUUCGGGUCGUAAAGCUCUGUCCUCAAAGAAGAUAAUGACGGUACUUGAGGAGGAAGCCCCGGCUA